This 435-nucleotide unclassified non-coding RNA is filed under the name Hevea brasiliensis (rubber tree). The record is from RNAcentral. Lineage: Eukaryota; Viridiplantae; Streptophyta; Magnoliopsida; Malpighiales; Euphorbiaceae.
GAAAUUUACUCUUUCUUCCUGUGUGUCUUAUACCUCCCAUGUUGGGUCAAGUAGCUAAUGACUUUUCCUUUGUGCAAAGCCAUCAAGAACAUGAUCAUCAACUUCCAUCUGAAGGAUUGUCCCGUGUCAGGUUUCUUUUUACUCCAUUCACCAUCUUAUGUAUUUUAUUUGUUACAUUCGCACAUUUGUGGCAUUAAUAGAAUAUUGCCUAAAAGUCGAGUCAUUUGCUCCUGUUUUUCCUCUUUAUUUUCUUUUCUUUUUUGGCAUACUAUCUCUUUUCAGAUAUUUUUGUUCUAGCAUCGUUUUGCUUAUUUGGAUUAAGAUUUACAGUAUGUUUGGAUUGAGUGUGUGGAGGUUUUUUAAAGGAAGGUAAGCUAUCUUAAUAGAAGGGAAGGUAUGAAAACCUCUCCGAUCCACCAAUUUGGUGGGUUGAAA